CUGCCACCCACAGCAGGAAGGACCGUCCACAACCAGCUCCUCUUCCUCUUCCCCCUUUUUGCUAAUUCACAGGCAGAAAAGCAGAACAAAUCUUGUUUCUGUCAUUCUUCACCUUCUCAAACCAUGAGGACCAACAGCAGCACGGGAGCUUUCAGGAAGAGAAGAAAGUCACCGAGCACAGCGUCAGCACAACGCUCCUUGCUCUGCUGCAAUGAGAAAUCCUGCAUUUCCAAUUUGGGCAGCACAGGAGACAGGAAAGAACCAAUUCCUACCUGCAGGAACUUGGUGCCAAAUUCAGAAAAGCCUUUAAGAUAAAGCAAGCAGCACACAGCAAAGCCUUGUUAUCUCAACAGCCUCAUUAAUCAAAUAUAAUAUGUCUGCUUUGCACCACAUGGCCAAGACUCAUCUGUCUGGUGAAUAUUUGAUAUCCAGUCACAGGAAAACCCUUGAAGAGUGAGCCAGCACUGGGUUAGAAGCCUUGAAACCAGAAGAAAUGCACUGAUGCAAAAAGCCUCUUCUCAGAAAUCAAGCUACAACUACCAAAAGUAUCAGAAUUUCAUAUUAAAAAAUGUAUCUUGCUUUCACAAACAUGGAAAGUUUCAGACAUUUGACCUCUGUUCCUUCCCAAGUAACCUCACUGACUAAAAAAGAAGAGGUUGGUGUUCCUGCUGCAGGUUCAGUACCUGCAGAGGUGAAGGAAAGGCUCCUGGAGCUGUGAAUGUCCCAGAACACCCUGGCCUGAGCACGGGGACAGUCUGAUCCCAGCUCCGAACCCAGGAACUCCAAAGGGAUGAAUCCACACAGAGAGGAGUGCACAGCAAACUGAGAAGGAAAUCCAGGCUGUGGAAAGGAUAUGCUUGUCACUGCCUGAGCCUCUCUCCCUCCUCGGCAGGCUGGUGAGGUGUGCCAGGCAGCAGCAGCUCUCAUCCUCACCCACUCCAGGCUGCCACGGACCUGAACCCCUCUGGGGAUCACCCCACCUUCUCCAGCUCUGCCUGCUUCAAACCUUGAGGAAUCCCAGGGCACCCCACCCAGCAGCUGUGAUUUACCUGAGAGCCUGAGAGCUCCCUGCUGCCCCAGCAAUCCAUCCCUGUGACAACACCUCCUGGGAAGGCGGUGGCCAGAGGGAGAGAUGCUUCUGGACACCACAGAAUGAGCAAGGAAUUCCAAGGGAAAAACACUCAGCAUGGAUUUCUGCCAAAAGAACUGAAUUCUGUCGCUUUUACAUCUCUGAAGUUCCACCAGUGCUGGGGGGGUAAAAUGGAUUUGAAAAAUCCCCCCCAAAAUGGCACCACAGAGCAGCCCCCAGCGGAGAGGGGCUCUGCAGUGAGCACUUAACAACAGGAAUAUUAAAAGUAACCCCCCAAACUCUAUGUUGAUCAGGAGAAGGAACCAGCACAACCUUCCACUGAGCUGUGGGGACAGAAAAGCCCUCGAGGGACAUAAUCACAUCAUGAAAAAUCUGCUCUGUUGGGUCUGGCUGGCUGUGCCCGGGGGUCAGGGCAGCACAGCAGUGCAGGCAGUUUGCUGAACACACUCCCCAGUUUAUCUUGAUUAUGUUUGUGGUGUCACAAAUAUCAAGGGCUGCAAAAAUAUCAUUUCCCUUCUGCAGUCUGACUUUCCUGGCACCUCAAAAAACCAACAGUAAUGGACUGAGGGCAUAAACUGUACUUUGUUGCUGUACUUCCUGGCAGUCUGCUGCCAGCAGCGUCUCCAGAGACAAGAUUCCUUGUGACACCAAGGUCACAGACAUCAUCAGUCUCAUGCUUUCUCUCCACUUUCUUAUUUUCCUUUCUCUUCUCUGUCCUUCUCCACCAAAUGAGGAAUUAUCUUCCAUACCUGCAAACUGUAAAGAGUCAGGGGGAACAAAAAGAGGGUUUUCCCCUGGAGAGGAAGGAAGACAACUCAAACACUGACUCAAGCACUGUCUCUGAACACUUCCUUCACUUCUGGGACUCCCAGUGACAAGUGGGAUUAAAUCUUCUCGCCUGGGCUCUGCCUCCACAUACACAACAAUACAGAAAUGCAGUGCCCAGCCAGAAAACAGGACAGGGGAUCUCUUCCAGGGCAGACUUAACACUGUUAAUCCCAGAUCCACACUAUUUACCCACUUCUGCCACAUCCUGUGCAGCCACAGUUAACUGGCACCAUUAACCAGCCUGUCUGUGCAGUCACACCGCAAACACAUCAAAAUGACAUUUAAAUAAAUAAAUAUAGAAGCACAGGAAUCAUUCAGGUUGGAAAAGACUUCUGAGAUCAUCAAGUCAACCUUUGACUAAUCACCACCCUAUCAACCAGACCAGAGCAUUGAGUGCCACAUCCAGGAGCUUUCUGAACACCUUCAGGGAUGGGGACUCCACCAUCUUCCUGGGCAGCCCCUUCCAAAAUAUCUAAAAGCCUCCCAGGCUCUUUUUUGCCUUGGGACAGCUUCUUCCCCUUACAGUUACUUUUAUCUCUAACAAAACACUGACCUUGGAAAGGCCACCAGCUCUCCACAAUGUCCAGGAAUUGUUUCUCGGGGGGGUGGG
Long non-coding RNA from Poecile atricapillus (Black-capped chickadee), 2528 nucleotides. RefSeq lists it as uncharacterized. The record is from RefSeq and is a predicted model, not a curated record. NCBI's taxonomy places the organism in Eukaryota, Metazoa, Chordata, Aves, Passeriformes, Paridae. The transcript has 2 exons.